GACGAACGCUGGCGGCGUGCUUAACACAUGCAAGUCGAACGGUAAGGCCCCUUCGGGGGUACACGAGUGGCGAACGGGUGAGUAACACGUGAGCAACCUGCCCUUGACUCUGGAAUAACAGUUGGAAACAGCUGCUAAUACUGGAUAUUCAUCGUCUCCUUCCUGGGGGGUGGUGGAAAGCUCCGGCGGUCAGGGAUGGGCUCGCGGCCUAUCAGCUUGUUGGUGAGGUAAUGGCUCACCAAGGCUUCGACGGGUAGCCGGCCUGAGAGGGCGACCGGCCACACUGGGACUGAGAUACGGCCCAGACUCCUACGGGAGGCAGCAGUGGGGAAUAUUGCACAAUGGGCGCAAGCCCGAUGCAGCAACGCCGCGUGCGGGAUGACGGCCUUCGGGUUGUAAACCGCUUUCAGUAGGGACGAAGGGUGACUGACGGUACCUACAGAAGAAGGACCGGCUAACUACGUG
RNAcentral lists this ribosomal RNA (465 nucleotides) under uncultured bacterium. RNAcentral's name for it is "partial 16S ribosomal RNA". It matches the Rfam family "Bacterial small subunit ribosomal RNA", at positions 28 to 507 of the family's 1533-position model. The record is from RNAcentral.